UAGCAUUCACAUAAUCCACUUGUAUGCCGCUCAGAGCUGUGCUGUUGGAGUUCUCAGUGUUCGUGUAGAACGCCAAAGCGGAAUUGGAGUUGACGUAUGUACAUAUGUAUGGGGCCUGAAAAACUACCUUUUUCUUAAGUGAGCUUGUAGAAUCUGUUGAUAACUGAUUGAUAAAAGCUAUGUGUUUCAUAGUUCAUAAUUCGUUGGACAAAUGGAUCGUAAAUUUUGGUGUUAACAAAAAAAGAUAUAUGAAAGAGAGGAAUGAAAAUCAGUCAGCUAGAAGUACUAUGACUCCAAUAAUUUCGUGUGAAGGGAUUACUUUUCUUCCAAUAUCUCGAAAAACGGAAAGUCACUACACUCCGCUGGAAAGAGUUCUAUCGACAAUGAGGGAGUAACUUCAAGACUAAGAGGGUCGUUGAAAAAGAUGUAUAUUCCUUAAUGCAGAAAAGAAAGCACAAAAUUCCUCUAUGGAGGUUCCCUUCGAUAAAUGGGGCGCAACACUCUCUCAAGGACCGCACCAAGUACUUUGGGGUAGUCUUGGACAGAAAAUUGCUGUAGAAGCCGUACGGAUAUCCACUUACCAGAAGCCAAUGGAAAGGGUACAGAGGCUCGCUUCUCUGUGCAUAACAGGAGAUUGAAGAACUGGUACUUAACCUGCCACCUAGAGACCUCUUCACUGAAAACUGCUUAGCAGCAUCGUCGGUACGACUACUGGCAGUAAACAAAUUUAC
This is a long non-coding RNA of Bactrocera tryoni, 731 nucleotides long. RefSeq lists it as uncharacterized. Lineage: Eukaryota; Metazoa; Arthropoda; Insecta; Diptera; Tephritidae. The transcript has 3 exons. The record is from RefSeq and is a predicted model, not a curated record.